GCCAGAAGCUGGUAUCCGGCUAUGCAUCUCGUUUGCAACAGGUCAUAACAGCACAAUAAUGCUCUACUAAAUACUAAGGAUGCAGUGCCAUAAGGGAUUUAAUAAUUGUGAGACUGGAGAAGUCAUGAUAAGUUGCAUUUUCUGUUGAAUUUGUGGAAACUACUGGAAGCAUUUGUGUUGAGAUUUUUCAAUUGCUUUUGUUUGAC
Pelobates cultripes (western spadefoot toad) is the source of this 206-nucleotide non-coding RNA. The record is from the annotation of a GenBank genome assembly. NCBI's taxonomy places the organism in Eukaryota, Metazoa, Chordata, Amphibia, Anura, Pelobatidae.